GACGAACGCUGGCGGCGUGCUUAACACAUGCAAGUCGAACGCUGAAGCUCAGCUUUUGUUGGGUGGAUGAGUGGCGAACGGGUGAGUAACACGUGAGUAACCUGCCCCCUUCUUUGGGAUAACGCCCGGAAACGGGUGCUAAUACUGGAUAUUCACUGGUCUUCGCAUGGGGGUUGGUGGAAAGGGUUUUUCUGGUGGGGGAUGGGCUCGCGGCCUAUCAGCUUGUUGGUGGGGUGAUGGCCUACCAAGGCUUUGACGGGUAGCCGGCCUGAGAGGGUGCCCGGUCACAUUGGGACUGAGAUACGGCCCAGACUCCUACGGGAGGCAGCAGUGGGGAAUAUUGCACAAUGGGCGCAAGCCUGAUGCAGCGACGCCGCGUGAGGGAUGGAGGCCUUCGGGUUGUGAACCUCUUUCGCUCAUGGUCAAGCCGCAACAAUGGUUGUGGUGAGGGUAGUGGGUAAAGAAGCGCCGGCUAACUACGUG
This 483-nucleotide ribosomal RNA is filed under the name uncultured bacterium. Its description in RNAcentral is "partial 16S ribosomal RNA". It matches the Rfam family "Bacterial small subunit ribosomal RNA", at positions 28 to 507 of the family's 1533-position model. The record is from RNAcentral.